Molecule: long non-coding RNA, 276 nt
Filed under: Elaeis guineensis (African oil palm)
Lineage: Eukaryota; Viridiplantae; Streptophyta; Magnoliopsida; Arecales; Arecaceae
Description: long non-coding RNA (EGUI_LNC065206)
Source: RNAcentral
UAUGGUUACACAACAAAGAAGUAUACUCAAAAAUGCUAUAAGCAUCUUAAUGCACUAAAACAAUAUUACAUUAGUUUCCAUAAUUGGUCUUGUGGUUUCACAACAAACCUAAUAUGGUUUGUGACAUAAUAAUGUCCUAGCAUGAAGGAAGGCCUUAAUGUAGUGAAUACAACACUAAGUAACCCAGCCAAGAAUUAAAUUAAUCUAAUCAGCCAGGUAAGUGGGAGAGAGGUGGGGGUCCCCCCGUUGCUUUCCUUAGAUACCAAUAAAUUGGCC